RNAcentral lists this ribosomal RNA (85 nucleotides) under Tursiops truncatus (common bottlenose dolphin). The record is from RNAcentral. Lineage: Eukaryota; Metazoa; Chordata; Mammalia; Artiodactyla; Delphinidae.
GCCUCAGCCCUCUAAACGAUACCUUGUUUGGGGCAGCUUCGUGACUGGAUGGGAGACCGCCUGGGAAUACCAGGUGCUGUAGGCU